AUACGGAGGGUGCAAGCGUUGUUCGGAAUCACUGGGCGUAAAGGGCGCGCAGGCGGUUUGGUAAGUCAGAUGUGAAAGCCCAUGGCUCAACCAUGGAAGUGCAUUUGAAACUGUCAGACUUGAGUACUAGAGGGGAAAGUGGAAUUCCCGGUGUAGAGGUGAAAUUCGUAGAUAUCGGGAGGAAUACCGGUGGCGAAGGCGACUUUCUGGCUAGAUACUGACGCUGAGGCGCGAAAGCGUGGGGAGCAAACAGGAGUAGAUACCCUAGUAGUCC
Molecule: ribosomal RNA, 274 nt
Filed under: uncultured bacterium
Lineage: Bacteria
Description: partial 16S ribosomal RNA
Rfam family: Bacterial small subunit ribosomal RNA
Source: RNAcentral